GGGGAAAUAAAAUAUAGAAAUAAAAAUAAAGAGAGAAAAUAAAGCUGAAGUAAAAUUAUUUUCUUUUUGAAUAUUAGAUAGAAAAAUAGCUUUCUGAAUAAUAAAAUAUUGAUUUUAUUCUUUUUAUUUAUAAUUAAAGUAAAUAAUUAUAAAUAUAAUUUUAUUUAUUUUUCAUCCGAACAAAAUUACUUGCAAGUCCCACAUUUUUAUUUUCCAACCAUAAUUUUCUUUUACUCUUGCAUCUAAUUUGCAUACUAUUAUAAGUAAAAUAUAAUUUUUUUUUAAAUAUUAACU
RNAcentral lists this unclassified non-coding RNA (294 nucleotides) under Hevea brasiliensis (rubber tree). Lineage: Eukaryota; Viridiplantae; Streptophyta; Magnoliopsida; Malpighiales; Euphorbiaceae. The record is from RNAcentral.